CUUGGGUUUGGGGUGUUGCCCUACAUGACUAAUCUGUCUCAAACCUUUCUUGGGUGUGGGGGGCUGCAGGUAUGGGAGAAGGCCCUGAUCUCCUGUGAGACUGGGAAUGUGCCUGUCAUCCCUUUUAGGGUUCCCCGAGGAUUUGACCUGUCUCAACCAGGAAUCAAGGAUACUGGAAUGAGAAAGAAUACAGCCACCCAUGGAGAUCAGAAAGAUAGACACCUUUGGGAUCACCUGCCACACUUUGCAUCUCUGCUUGGAAGACUAUGCUAUUUUAAGGUAUGCUACUAUUCUCUGCAAAC
RNAcentral lists this small RNA (302 nucleotides) under Rattus norvegicus (Norway rat). Its description in RNAcentral is "uncharacterized LOC108350856". Lineage: Eukaryota; Metazoa; Chordata; Mammalia; Rodentia; Muridae. The record is from RNAcentral.